This 433-nucleotide ribosomal RNA is filed under the name uncultured bacterium. Its description in RNAcentral is "partial 16S ribosomal RNA". It matches the Rfam family "Bacterial small subunit ribosomal RNA", at positions 29 to 507 of the family's 1533-position model. The record is from RNAcentral.
AACGAACGCUGGCGGCAUGCCUAACACAUGCAAGUCGAACGAGACCUUCGGGUCUAGUGGCGCACGGGUGCGUAACGCGUGGGAACCUGCCCUUAGGUUCGGAAUAACUUCCCGAAAGGGGUGCUAAUACCGGAUAAUGUCUUCGGACCAAAGAUUUAUCGCCUUUGGAUGGGCCCGCGUUGGAUUAGCUAGUUGGUAGGGUAAAAGCCUACCAAGGCGACGAUUCAUAGCUGGUCUGAGAGGAUGAUCAGCCACACUGGGACUGAGACACGGCCCAGACUCCUACGGGAGGCAGCAGUGGGGAAUAUUGGACAAUGGGCGAAAGCCUGAUCCAGCAAUGCCGCGUGAGUGAUGAAGGCCUUAGGGUUGUAAAGCUCUUUUACCCGGGAUGAUAAUGACAGUACCGGGAGAAUAAGCUCCGGCUAACUCCGUG